Molecule: long non-coding RNA, 299 nt
Organism: Equus quagga
Lineage: Eukaryota; Metazoa; Chordata; Mammalia; Perissodactyla; Equidae
Exons: 3
Source: RefSeq, a predicted model, not a curated record
GAGAGCACGCCUGGGAAGGUCAAUUAUUAAGGGACACGGGGCCCUUAGACGCUGGGCCUCAGUUCUGUGGGGCCCUUGCCCUUAAGCAACUCAAUGUUUUAUUGAAGAUGUGAAUCCUUAAAACAAAAUGGCUGGUGGGGAUAGAGGCUGUAACAGACAGGAUUAUGUAUGAGAGGAUGUGCUUUGGAAAUAUUCUCUGUAAGAUCCAGACCUCACUGAUUCUCUCUGCUCUCCAGUCUUCCUCUCCUCACCAUCCCACAGUCCUCACUCAAGCAGGGUCAUCAGAAUAACCACCAACU